UUGUAUUUUAUUUGUUCUAGCAAAGGCUUAUUGGAGAGGGAAGAAAUGAAUAUUUAUUAAGAUUUCAUCUAAAGUUUUCAAGACUCCUUUUUUAUUUUGUUCCAGACUUACUAUCACUGAUUUUAACUGCCCACUCAAGAGCUAUCCAAGGUUAAGCCAUAGUUGUUAUCAUCAAAUGGCCAUUCCCUGGGUAAGGAAACACAAAGAAGCAAAGUGAUUUGUUAAAAGGAUUAGACAUCUAUAAAUAUAGACAAUAUUCAUGCAAAGCCUGGACUGAGACAGAUACCAAUUGAUGAUCAAACACAUUUAGAUGUUGAAACAAAAUCCUGGGUACUGUAAAAAGCCAGAAACCAAAGGAAUGGUGCUGGAAAUUGUCCAGAGAAAAACAACCAGGAUGAUCUAAGGAUUUCACUAAAACAAGUUGUUCCUCACUCCUCAGAUUCCAUAAGGGUUUGGCUGAAACAUCUGGCACGUACUCAACUCCUUGACACCUUGUCAGUUCACUUUUCUAUCCUUUUGAAAUUCAUAAAUUUAUAGUCUCCAAUUCCUUCACAUAAAAUGAAAGAAUAAACAUUGAGGAAAAGGACUGGG
RNAcentral lists this long non-coding RNA (591 nucleotides) under Monodelphis domestica (gray short-tailed opossum). RNAcentral's name for it is "lncRNA (ENSMODG00000049830.1)". The record is from RNAcentral. Lineage: Eukaryota; Metazoa; Chordata; Mammalia; Didelphimorphia; Didelphidae.